This 72-nucleotide transfer RNA is filed under the name Ovis aries (sheep). It matches the Rfam family "tRNA". From Rfam's summary of the family: Transfer RNA (tRNA) molecules are approximately 80 nucleotides in length. Their secondary structure includes four short double-helical elements and three loops (D, anti-codon, and T loops). Lineage: Eukaryota; Metazoa; Chordata; Mammalia; Artiodactyla; Bovidae. The record is from Rfam by way of RNAcentral.
UCCCUGGUGGCUCAGAGGGUAAAGCGUCUGCCUGCAAUGUAGGAGACCCAGGUUCGAUCCCUGGGUUGGAAA